Stomoxys calcitrans (stable fly) is the source of this 3612-nucleotide long non-coding RNA. RefSeq lists it as uncharacterized. The record is from RefSeq and is a predicted model, not a curated record. NCBI's taxonomy places the organism in Eukaryota, Metazoa, Arthropoda, Insecta, Diptera, Muscidae. The transcript is spliced from 3 exons.
GAGAUUACAACUCAUCGUAGUAUUUCCUGUCACAUCAUAUCAUUCUGACUCAAGCAUCAACACAUCCAUCACCCUCCUUAACACAAGCCACGCCACUUUACAGCUCGUGGUCGCAAAACAAAAAAAACUUCGCACCUUUUCUCUCCCCGGGACUAGGAAAGCUUCAAGGGCUGGAGUGCAAUCCUCGUGUCGUAGACAUACCCAGCACAAAGAGUUCCCACAUUCAUCUGUGACAUACAUUGGUCAGAGGAUGACGCAAAAAAAAAACAAAAAUAGUACAGCAAUAAUUGCCCCGUAAUAGCAUUACAAAUAUAGUGCGGAUUGUUAUUGGCACCCGAGUUUGACUUGAGGUACAUACAUUAUCCUGACCUUUUUCCCUAUUGUCCCUGGUCAUAGCGACAUAAACGAUCUUCCAAUCGAGAGGUCACCCUAUCAAUAUUGACGAGGCAUUUCGGAAUCUACUUUGUCCGCCGCAACAAAGUAAAAAUCUGUCAACUAAACAAAUUUAUAACUCUGACGAAAAAUAUCAUUUUUGGAAGUGUUUGCCUCAGAAUUCACUGGUCACUGGUAAAGAACUAUCCAUCGAUGGGUACAAAGCAUCCAAAGAGAAAAUAACUUUGCUUUGCUUGGUAAUGCUGCUGAGACACACAGCUGCAAACAGAUGGUAAUAGGAAUAAGUGUCAAUCCAAGUGUAUUAAAACAUGUUUAUAAAUCAAAUAAGAGAGCCUGGGUAAUACAAGAAUUUUUCCUCGAGGGGUUCAACAACAAUUUUGUGCCAGAAGUAAGAGAAAAUCUACAAAACAUUGGCUUUGAUAGGAACUGCAAGGUGCUUUUGCUUGUAGAUAAUUGUCCAGCUCACCCAGAUGUAACUGUUCUGAAAUUUGAAAACGUUGCAGUAAAAUUUUUGCUUAAUUCAACCUAUGUAUCAAGGGGUAAACCGAAGCUUCAAAUGCAAUUACCGAAAAUCAAUUAUCCAAAAAUUUUUGACUGCAGACAUGAUUUCGCCAAGUCUUUGAAUAUUAAUGGCUGGUACUAUAUUCGUUUUUCAAGGUUACUUUUUUGAAACACUACAAAACUCUCGAUCAUAACACAACACUUUUAUGAAUGAGCGAAUGUCAUACUGAAUGAAAUCAGCAAGUUGUUUUGCUUCAAAAUCUGUUACCUAAAAAAAGUAAUCGUGAAAAAAUUUCACUUAAGCAAAUAUAGUACUACCCUUAAGACAGCUUUGUGGACAGCGGCUCUAUCUUGGGACAAGGUAACAGCACAAGUGUUACACAAUAUUUGGAACAACCUGCUGUCCCAAGAUGACGAAAAUGCAAACCAUGCCGCAGUUGUACAAUCAGACAUUGUAAUACCGCCUGGAUGUUCUAUUGAUGACCUCUCAACGUGGAUCGGAUGUGAUGAUGAGGUCACAUCCUGUGCUAUUUUAUCUGAUGCCGAAAUAAUACGUAUGGCAAAUCAAAGCGAAGAUUACGCAACUGAUGGGGAUUCCGUAGUGUCAGACGAAGGAAAUUCAAAAGACCCAGAAAAACCCACAUUGGCACAUGCAAUAGAGGAAUGCAGUGUUCUUUUGAAAUUUCUUGAAAACAAUAGAAUUCCAGAAUUUUCAGAGCCAGAUGCUGCAUUACAUCGCAUACAAACAAAAAAUACACAAUAAAAAAUACAAUACUUUAAAUAAUUAUAUAAAAUCCCGUUUACACUGCUUAUUAAAUCCGAUCAUCUGAUCAUGGCUCGAUCAUCUGUUUUCCCUUUAUAACAUCAGCUGAGGAGAGCCUUAAAUCCGGAUUUAAUGAGCAGUGUUAGCGGGGCUUAACUUAAAGUAUUGUAAAUUUUGUCCAUAAACAAAUUUUGCCCAAACUUCUCACAUAUCAAUGAGUGCAGUCCGAUUCAAGUUUAAGCUCAAUGAUAAAGGACUUCCUUUUUAUAGCCGAGUCCGAACGGCGUGCCGCAGUGCGACACCUCUUAGGAGAGAAGAUUUACAUGCCAUAGUACCUCACAAAUGUUGCCAGCAUUAGGAGGGGAAAACCACCGCUGAUAAUUUUUUCUGAUGGUCUCGUCCGGAGUGGCUUCCACUUAAAGUAUAAAUUAACUUAUGGUAUAUAUUUUUUAAAACGCUAUCUAUAUACCCUUGUAUGUAUAUAACCUCAUAGAACUAUUAAUUGUGUUUUUUGAUUUUCCUGAGAGCCGGAUAAUUAAGGUUCAAAUGUAGUUGUGUGUGCGUGUGUACACACAACAAAGAAAAUUUUGUUGUUCGGCAUGUUGCAACAAUUAAAGGUGGUCUCAUUUGUACAACCACAAUCAUUUGGUGCAAUCCGUUAUAUUGUCAUCAUGCUGAUCGCCGUUUUGCAAACACACGCAUACAAAUCUGUGUGCGUUUGACUAUACGUGUGUGUACAUGUUAAGUCCAUAAAGUCUGCGUUCAUGUGACAAUUUCUUUUUUAAUGAUUAAAAAACAACAUAAAAAAAUAAAUAAAGUUAAGUUUUUUUGUAGAUGUUGUUUCUUUAUAUUUCUUAAAUUAGAAAACAAAAACAAAAAUACAAGUUUGCUUUUGCUUUUUUGUUCUAACGGUACUUUUGUCUUAUAAGAAGAAAUUAUGACAACCAAAAAGUCUGCGUUCACUUUGUUUACUUCAAAAGUACCGUUACUUUUUAUGAUGCUUGUUCUUAUUUUUGAUCAGCUUCAGUUCAUUAUCUUAACAAGUAAAAGUUACACGUGUUUUUUUUAAUUAAUAAAUUUGGAAACUAAAGGAAAGGAAAUAUGCAUAUCUGAAAGAAAAAUAAUUAUUAAACUGUGGAAAGAAGGACAAAGCUUUAGAAAUAUUGGUGGAACAGAUGGAAGACAUAUUCUUCUGUCCAGCGGGUAAUUAAUAAUUACAAAGAAACCGGCAUUAUAACUUCAAAGCCUCGGCCUGGGCGUCCAAAAAAAAUUAUCCGUUAGAGAAGAGCGCAAAGUGAUUAAUAUGGCAAGCAACAACCCUCGUAUAACAUCAACCAAAAUUGGUGAAAAUGUUUAAAAAAAGCACCUGUGCCGAAGUUGCCAGAAAAAUAUUACAUAGAGCUGGAUUUCAUGGAAGAGUUUCUCAAAGAAAGCCGUAUAUUUCAGCCAUUAACAGACCAAAGUGAAUUGCAUUCGCUAAUACUUUCAACAAUAAGCCUCCUGAAUUCUGGAAACAAAUUAUUUUCUCCGACGAGAGCAAAUUCUGUAUUUUUGGCAUUAAAGGUCGGGAAAUAGUGUGGCGCAAGUGCGGGACUGAGCUGGAAAAACAAAAUUUAGUUGGAAUGGUGAAGCACGGUGGUGGUGGAGUUAUGGUGUGGGGGUGUUAAAUGUUGUCUCAUGCAAACAGCUGCCAGCCAGAUUUGACGUUAUUAAAAUGCCAGAUUUUUGUUUGCAUGAUACAUAUGUACUGUUGCAACACCAACCCAAUUUCCUUCUGUUUGAGUAAAACCAAUUGUAUAUGCAUAAAACAUUAUUUAUAUAUUUAUCUGUAUAUAUAUAUAUAUAUUUAUUUAGAUUUCUUAUUUUUUCGGGUUUCACAUAUGUAUGUCAAUAAUUUUAUUAUUCUUUAUUUAUGUAUGAAAGUAUGUAUUCAUGUUGUAUAUAAACGAUUGUUU